Molecule: long non-coding RNA, 337 nt
Filed under: Mytilus galloprovincialis (Mediterranean mussel)
Lineage: Eukaryota; Metazoa; Mollusca; Bivalvia; Mytilida; Mytilidae
Source: RNAcentral
AGCUGAAGUCCAAUCAACUUGAAACUUAAUACACAUGUUCCCCAUGAUAUGAUCUUUCUAAUUUUAAUGCCAAAUUAUAGUUUUGACCCAAAUUUCAUGGUCCACUGAACAUAGAAAAUGAUAGUGCAAAGUUUAGGUUAAAGUUUUUGGUCAAGGUAGUUUUUGAUGAAGUUAAAGUUACAUCAACUUGAAACUUAGUACACAUGUUCCCUAUGAUAUGAUCUUUCUAAUUUUAAUUCCAAAUUAAAGUUUUGACCCCAAUAUCACGGUCCACUGAACAUAGAAAAUGAUAGUGGGAGUGGGGCAUCCGUGUACUAUGGACACAUUCUUGUUAGUC